This 211-nucleotide unclassified non-coding RNA is filed under the name Leucosporidium fragarium. Its description in RNAcentral is "partial internal transcribed spacer 2". The record is from RNAcentral. Lineage: Eukaryota; Fungi; Basidiomycota; Microbotryomycetes; Leucosporidiales; Leucosporidiaceae.
ACUCUUCAACCCACCAGUUUCUUGUAGACUGAUUGGUGUUUGGAUUUUGAGCGUUGCUCGUCUUCGGAUGCAGCUCGUUCGUAAUACAUUAGCAUCUCUAAUUCGAACUCGGAUUGACUCAGUGUAAUAGACUAUUCGCUGAGGACACGCUCUCGUAGUGUGGCCGAAUGAGAUCUCAGUAGAAGCUUCCAACUACUUUAGUCAACUUUAG